Molecule: ribosomal RNA, 428 nt
Filed under: uncultured microorganism
Description: bacterial SSU rRNA
Rfam family: Archaeal small subunit ribosomal RNA
Source: RNAcentral
GUGCAGCAGUCGAGAAACCUCCGCAAUGCGGGAAACCGCGACGGGGGACCCCGAGUGCCGUGGCAACGCCACGGCUUUUCCGGAGUGUAAAAAGCUCCGGGAAUAAGGGCUGGGCAAGGCCGGUGGCAGCCGCCGCGGUAAUACCGGCGGCCCGAGUGGUGGCCGCUAUUAUUGGGCCUAAAGCGUCCGUAGCCGGGCCCGUAAGUCCCUGGCGAAAUCCCACGGCUCAACCGUGGGGCUUGCUGGGGAUACUGCGGGUCUUGGGACCGGGAGAGGCGGGGGGUACCCCUGGGGUAGGGGUGAAAUCCUAUAAUCCCAGGGGGACCGCCAGUGGCGAAGGCGCCCCGCUGGAACGGGUCCGACGGUGAGGGACGAAGGCCAGGGGAGCAAAACCGGGAUUAGAUACCCCGGGGUAGUCCCCCGAGACG